CCUACGGGUGGCAGCAGUGAGGAAUCUUGGUCAAUGGACGAGAGUCUGAACCAGCCAAGUAGCGUGAAGGAUGACUGCCCUUUGGGUUGUAAACUUCUUUUAUAUGGGAAUAAAAUGUUCCACGUGUGGGAUUUUGUAUGUACCAUAUGAAUAAGGUUCGGCUAACUCCGUGCCAGCAGCCGCGUUAAUACGGAGGAUCCGAGCGUUAUCCGGAGUCAUUGGGUUUAAAGGGAGCGUAGGUGGAUUGUUAAGUCAGUUGUGAAAGUUGGCGGCUCAACCGUAAAAUUGCAGUUGAAACUGGCAGUCUUGAGUACAGUAGAGGUGGGCGGAAUUCGUGGUGUAGCAGUGAAAUGCGUAGAUAUCGCGAAGAACUCCGAUUGCGAAGGCAGGUCACUGGACUGCAACUGACACUGAGGCUCGAAGGUGUGGGUAGCAAACGGGAUUAGAUACCCUGGUAGUC
Molecule: ribosomal RNA, 460 nt
Filed under: uncultured bacterium
Lineage: Bacteria
Description: partial 16S ribosomal RNA
Rfam family: Bacterial small subunit ribosomal RNA
Source: RNAcentral